CAGGAUGAACGCUAGCGACAGGCUUAACACAUGCUUGUCGAGGGGCAGCGGGGGCGUAGCAAUAUGCCUGCCGGCGACCGGCGCACGGGUGAGUAACACGUAUGUAACCUGCCCUAUGCAGGGGGAUAACCCGGAGAAAUCCGGCCUAAUACCGCGUAACACCUUUGGGGAGCAUUCCCUUGGGGUUAAAGGAGAGAUCCGGCAUAGGAUGGACAUGCGUCGCAUUAGGUAGACGGCGGGGUAACGGCCCACCGUGCCGACGAUGCGUAGGGGUUCUGAGAGGAAGGCCCCCCACACUGGUACUGAGACACGGACCAGACUCCUACGGGAGGCAGCAGUGAGGAAUAUUGGUCAAUGGCCGAGAGGCUGAACCAGCCAAGUCGCGUGAGGGAAGAAUGUCCUAAGGAUUGUAAACCUCUUUUGUCGGGGAGCAAAAAGGCUCUGCGGAGUCGUAUUGAGAGUACCCGAAGAAAAAGCAUCGGCUAACUCCGUGCCAGCAGCCGCGGUAAUACGGAGGAUGCGAGCGUUAUCCGGAUUUAUUGGGUUUAAAGGGUGCGCAGGCGGCGUGUCAAGCAAGCGGUAAAAUAGCGGGGCUCAACCCCGUCGAGCCGUUUGAACUGGCGCGCUUGAGUUCAGGCGAGGUAGGCGGAAUUCGUGGUGUAGCGGUGAAAUGCAUAGAUAUCACGAAGAACUCCGAUUGCGAAGGCAGCUUACCAGUCUGCGACUGACGCUCAGGCACGAAAGUGUGGGUAUCGAACAGGAUUAGAUACCCUGGUAGUCCACACAGUAAACGAUGAGCGCUAGGUGUCCGGGUCGCAUGAGACUUGGGUGCCCGAGCGAAAGCGUUAAGCGCUCCACCUGGGGAGUACGCCGGCAACGGUGAAACUCAAAGGAAUUGACGGGGGCCCGCACAAGCGGAGGAACAUGUGGUUUAAUUCGAUGAUACGCGAGGAACCUUACCCGGGCUCAAACGACUCAGGAAUAUAUUGGAAACGAUGUAGCCAGCAAUGGUCUGAGUCGAGGUGCUGCAUGGUUGUCGUCAGCUCGUGCCGUGAGGUGUCGGCUUAAGUGCCAUAACGAGCGCAACCCCUACCGCCAGUUGCCAACGGGUAAAGCCGGGAACUCUGGCGGGACUGCCGGCGCAAGCUGCGAGGAAGGCGGGGAUGACGUCAAAUCAGCACGGCCCUUACGUCCGGGGCGACACACGUGUUACAAUGGCAGGUACAGCGGGAAGCCACCUGGUGACAGGGAGCGGAACCCGAAAGCCUGUCUCAGUUCGGAUUGGAGUCUGCAACUCGACUCCAUGAAGCUGGAUUCGAUAGUAAUCGCGCAUCAGCCAUGGCGCGGUGAAUACG
RNAcentral lists this ribosomal RNA (1355 nucleotides) under uncultured bacterium. RNAcentral's name for it is "partial 16S ribosomal RNA". It matches the Rfam family "Bacterial small subunit ribosomal RNA", at positions 25 to 1370 of the family's 1533-position model. The record is from RNAcentral.